Mytilus californianus (California mussel) is the source of this 354-nucleotide long non-coding RNA. RefSeq lists it as uncharacterized. The transcript is spliced from 3 exons. Lineage: Eukaryota; Metazoa; Mollusca; Bivalvia; Mytilida; Mytilidae. The record is from RefSeq and is a predicted model, not a curated record.
UUUAUGACAUCUGCCCAGAAAUUCAGAAAGAUCAUGAUUACACCAAUAACACAUCGGCUAAUGUUGAGAUAAAAGAAUCGUUCCCUCUUAGCAGAAAUGUACUAUGCAUCUGUUGCUCAUCAGGUAUAGGGAUUGUAAAGGUGAACAAUAGCUAUUUUGAUUGUUUAACAUGUAGUUCUACUUCCUGUGUGCAUGUAAGAGAAGUCCAUUCGAUUUUUGACUCAGAAAGUAAUGACCUAGGUGAAGAAUUACUGAACUGGAGGAGCAAUCACACUGACAAGGAAAAGGAAUUGAAAGUAAAAAUCAAAUGUUUAUCCUCUAAGAAAAUACCAUUUGAUUUCACUGAAGACAUUU